Molecule: long non-coding RNA, 2550 nt
Organism: Macaca fascicularis (crab-eating macaque)
Lineage: Eukaryota; Metazoa; Chordata; Mammalia; Primates; Cercopithecidae
Source: Ensembl
AAUUUUAUUUCAAAAUGUAAACGUCACUAAACAUGCAUACACGUUAAAACAAUAAAAUUUACAAUUUCGUUAAUUUUUCUUUUUGCAUAGGACAUCAUUACAAUAUAGAAUCUAUGCCAUACAAAAUACAUACAAAGUUUUAUCCGAGCAAGCCAAGGCCAGACUGGGAACUGUACAACUGUAAUACUUCACUGUAGUGAUCCAGGAAGAUGAAACAUGGCCUUCAGAAUUAUGGUGGGUGCUGGUUAAAAAAAAGUUCCUACAAAAAAGAAAAACAUGAGCUCCAUGGAAAUGGUCUUGGACCCUUGGAUUCUGCCUUGGGCUUUUGGCAAACGAUUCCAGAGAAGCUCCACCAAUGGCUUUGGAUGGGAAAGGUUGCUCAGUAGUGCCUCCUUCCUGCUGAGGCCGACCAGCCCCAGAGGCCCCAGCACUCGGCACCGGGGUGGAGCCCGCUCAGACACUGGGGCUGAUGGGCCCGCGGGGUGUCUAGAGCCACAUGGGAGGUGGCCCUUGCUCCUCUCAGGGCAGCCAGAUACAGGGGGGCUCCUGUGCUGAGUGUGUGGCCUCGCAGGCAUUCGGCUCACACACCUAGUUUCCAAAUAAGCAGGCGCUGUGGCCUGUCCACAGGCCCUUCAGAAGAGGCUGGAGAAAGCAGGACCCUGAGGCCUUAAGCAAGCUGUUCGCCCCCCACCCCACCCCCGGACUUCCUGCCUCCACCCCCCACCCCCUCUCGGGAAUGUGUGACUUGUAGGGUAGGGGAAGCUACUUCUCUCCCAUCCAGUUCGGUUUUAAAUAAAAGUAGUAAAGUUUUAAAGCUGUAUGAGAAAGAGAGAGGCAGGGCAGGGCCAGGUAGCCGCACUGCAAGUCCGAAAUCCGUAGAAACCAAGCGCGGCCCCUCUUCCCUCAUGGACACCGGGCUCCCGUCUCCGGCCGAAUUCAACUCUUCUGAUGCUGAGGGACACGACGGCAGGCAGGCGGCGGCACCUCGCCCUAAAGGGUACUCAGGUGUGUGUCAGUAGUAAGCUGGACUGUGCAUCCAAGUUCUGGUACAAAGGUCUCUGGAAUGUGUCUCAGACAAGUCUUCAGAGCCUCAGAAUUAGGAAAAUUAGUAAUAGGACCUGGUUCUCCCUGGGGUAAUCCUGAUUUCAAAAACCAUCAGCCCACGCCUCGGAUUUUAGCUUUGGAAAAUAUGGUUACCAGAAUUGUAUAUGGAAACAGUCAGCAAAAGAUGUGGAUAACCUACAAAGCGUUUCUUACUGGUUGUGAUGUGACCAACACAUCACACCCUUUAAACCUUCUAGCACUGUGUCUUUGACUAAAUGACCUUUUUUAAAUGGGGGAAAGAAAAUCAGUGACACCUGUCAGAGGUGAAAAUAGUCAGGUAGCCCUGUAAACACAGCCACAACCAGAAGUGGAGAAACAAGGCCACACUAUUGCUCAGAUCACAUCUUCCUGUUGGGUGGCACCCCUGCCCAGCUGAGAUCCUGAAUGGGUCCCUAGGGAGUACCAGGGCCCUGUGCAGUCCAUCUUAGCAUUUGCUUCUGGCAAGAAAGAGGAUGGUCUUCUGGACACACCAGGUCAGGAGACAGAAGACUUGAGGUCAAGUCUUGAGGCAGAGUGGCCAGCCCUCUCUGCCCAUCCCCACCUCUGAAUCACCCCUCACCGGUCUGAGCUGUGUUCAGGGUGCAGCAAGGCCUGGGAUCGCCAUUGCCUCAGAUCUUUGUACCUGGAGGCUGCACCAUGGCGAAUCCUGCACCUGCCUUGGUGUGGGGCCUGGAAAUAAAGUCAGGAUUAGGAGUGCGGCCAUCUUGCACUCGAGUGUCGUGGGUGGGGGCGCAGCAGGAUGCAGGUAGGGCACCUCCAGGACCAUGUUCCCAUCCAGGACAUCUCUGCUCGUUCCUACGCAGCACCCUGCAGGACAGGAUCCCAGGGCUCUUUGAGGAAAGGGCUGUGUCCAUCUGUUUUCCUGUAUGGCUGUAGGAUCCAGUAGGCAUUUGGGGAGCUGACAACCGUUCCCCUAAUAUGGCUGAUGUAAAGAGGGGCUUCCUUGUCUGGGACAUGAGCAACACCAGCCCCUUGAUGCCUGAGCCCCAAAUCAAUUUUAGACCUUUUAUAGGGGAACUCUCCCUUCACUCAGGCGAACUUCAUUCUGAGAUCUCUGCCCCUAUGGGCCACUAGAACUGAAGUCCCAGAACAAGGGUUUGAGUUUUCACUAUUAUUUAUAUGAGUCCUAUGGGUUCCUCAACCCCACCAAAACUGGCAAGCAUGGCCAUAAACCACAAAAAUGGAAGACCCUGAAAUAGAUGCAGUCUGGGAAAACAUUCUGCAUGUUUGAAGAAAAUGAAGCCUGUUUCAGGAGGGUCCGCCUUGUGUGCCCACUUCAGUGGAGGCAGCGUUCCAAGGCCCACCACCCUCUUCCACAGGAAUCCCUCACUUCAUGAUGAGAUGGACAUCUGCCCUUGAGGACCCCUGUGAACUGUGCCUGAGAUUCAUGGGUUUCUCCCCGCCCUUCAAGUGAGAUGAGUUUAAAACCCCAGAUGAUUCAGGAGG